This 322-nucleotide ribosomal RNA is filed under the name uncultured eukaryote. RNAcentral's name for it is "partial 18S ribosomal RNA". It matches the Rfam family "Eukaryotic small subunit ribosomal RNA", at positions 1470 to 1796 of the family's 1831-position model. The record is from RNAcentral.
UCCUUAGAUGUUCUGGGCCGCACGCGUGCUACACUGAGUGGAUCAGCGGGUCAGGUUACGCGAGAGCGUUUCCUAAUCUUCAAAUCCGCUCGUGAUGGGGAUUGACGGUUGCAAUUUUCCGUCAUGAACGAGGAAUACCUUGUAAGCGCGGGUCAUCAUCCCGCGCUGAAUACGUCCCUGCCCUUUGUACACACCGCCCGUCGCUCCUACCGAUUGAGUGGUCCGGUGAGGCUUUGGGAUCUAAGCGAAAAGAGCGUUUCGCUCCUUUUGCUGGGAGAACUCAGUCGAACCUUAUCAUUUAGAGGAAGGAGAAGUCGUAACA